Molecule: transfer RNA, 290 nt
Filed under: Hevea brasiliensis (rubber tree)
Lineage: Eukaryota; Viridiplantae; Streptophyta; Magnoliopsida; Malpighiales; Euphorbiaceae
Rfam family: tRNA (bases 24-95)
Source: RNAcentral
CCCCAUUGCUGCUUCAGCAGUAUUCCUCGGUAGCUCAGCGGUAGAGCAUUCGACUGUUAAUCGAAUGGUCGCUGGUUCGAAUCCAGCCCGGGGAGCCAAUCAAAUCAAUCACUUACCAGCCUGUCUGCCUCGCGCAACUUGCGCGGGAUCGCCCGCGUAUAUAGCUGAUCUGUGUGACGGGCCGCGGGGCGCUCCCGGAAUGGAACAGGCAGGUUUAACGUGAGCGCAGAAGCCAGGGCCGAACUCGACCGUCAUUUCGACUGGAUCGCAUCACGGCUUCCCGAAAAAGG